CAGAAUGUAGCUUAUCUAAAGUUAAUUAUUUACAUUAAUUAGAAAAUUGUUUAUUCUUUCUGA
Molecule: transfer RNA, 63 nt
Filed under: Macropsis huangbana
Lineage: Eukaryota; Metazoa; Arthropoda; Insecta; Hemiptera; Cicadellidae
Description: tRNA-Val
Source: RNAcentral